Vulpes vulpes (red fox) is the source of this 119-nucleotide small nuclear RNA. Its record names the gene U5. It matches the Rfam family "U5 spliceosomal RNA". From Rfam's summary of the family: U5 RNA is a component of both types of known spliceosome. The precise function of this molecule is unknown, though it is known that the 5' loop is required for splice site selection and p220 binding, and that both the 3' stem-loop and the Sm site are important for Sm protein binding and cap methylation. The record is from Ensembl. Lineage: Eukaryota; Metazoa; Chordata; Mammalia; Carnivora; Canidae.
AGACUCUGGUUUCUCUUCAGAUUGAAAAAAUCUUUCACCUUUUACUAAGGAUUUCCAUGGAGAGAAACAACUCUGAGUCUUUGACUAAUUUUUUUUGAGGCCUUACUUUGUGUGAGGCU